UGGGGAAUUUUGGACAAUGGGCGAAAGCCUGAUCCAGCAAUGCCGCGUGUGUGAAGAAGGCCUUCGGGUUGUAAAGCACUUUUGUCCGGAAAGAAAUCCUUGGCUCUAAUACAGUCGGGGGAUGACGGUACCGGAAGAAUAAGCACCGGCUAACUACGUGCCAGCAGCCGCGGUAAUACGUAGGGUGCAAGCGUUAAUCGGAAUUACUGGGCGUAAAGCGUGCGCAGGCGGUUUGCUAAGACCGAUGUGAAAUCCCCGGGCUCAACCUGGGAACUGCAUUGGUGACUGGCAGGCUAGAGUAUGGCAGAGGGGGGUAGAAUUCCACGUGUAGCAGUGAAAUGCGUAGAGAUGUGGAGGAAUACCGAUGGCGAAGGCAGCCCCCUGGGCCAAUACUGACGCUCAUGCACGAAAGCGUGGGGAGCAAACAGGAUUAGAUACCCCUGGUAGUCCACGCCCUAAACGAUGUCAACUAGUUGUUGGGGGAUUCAUUUCCUUAGUAACGUAGCUAACGCGUGAAGUUGACCGCCU
This 528-nucleotide ribosomal RNA is filed under the name uncultured bacterium. RNAcentral describes it as "partial 16S ribosomal RNA". It matches the Rfam family "Bacterial small subunit ribosomal RNA", at positions 355 to 874 of the family's 1533-position model. The record is from RNAcentral.